This 1464-nucleotide long non-coding RNA is filed under the name Anas platyrhynchos platyrhynchos (common mallard). Its description in RNAcentral is "lncRNA (ENSAPLG00000022482.1)". The record is from RNAcentral. Lineage: Eukaryota; Metazoa; Chordata; Aves; Anseriformes; Anatidae.
UCUAAGGCUCACUCGUUUCUUUCCAAAAUGCAACCAGAGAAGACAAUAUGUCUGUUCUGAUAGUAUUUGCCAUUUGCAUCAACCCCUUCUGUUUGGUACAUUUUCCUAGAAAGCGUGUGAUCUAGGUUCAAGUUUACAAUCUGACCUUACUUAUUUUGUGAGAUUACUGUCAUAUCCAGCUACAGGCAAGUUCUACAAAGCUCUAUAUCUUCUGCAAUUUGUGUGUGUGCUUUACCUCCCUGGAGCACUCACAGUGCCUGGUUUCUCAAGGGGAGUGGCAGUACCUGGCUGUGUUUCUAGAUCCCACUGGGGCCCAGGUCUACAUGAAACAAGUCACAGCCAGAAGCAGAGCAGGAGGUGCUUUGGAGCUUGCAGGUCCAGCAUGCACCAAUCAAUUUCAUAAGGUGCCUGCAAAGGUACUUGCAUGGACUUACUUCUACAUGGGAGUAGAAUCAGAAGACAACCAUGCUUUGCCAUGCUAUCUGAAGAAAUUACCACCAACUCUGCCCUGCUCCUCUCUGCCACCUUUUCACUGGAUAAUGCUGCUCAUUUAGAUCUGGUGUCCUUUUUACUGCAGGAGAGGGAUGGAAGCUUUCCCACACCUGAGUGAUCUGAGUCCUACAAGGAAAACCAUCCACAGAAGGUGGCUCUUCUCUGACUUAAUCCUCACUGACUGCCUGGGGCCACUCCAGGAGGCUGCUCAGAGCUCUCCGGUCAGGCCCCUGCUGCGAGAUGUUCCUGGAAGAAACCUUUCCCUUAGUUACAGAAGGAGGCUCAGGAAAUUAGAACCUCACAGCUAAACAUAGACUUCAUCAACAAUCUUCCUAAUUUCUUAGAGUUUUUUCCUGGUUACUCGUUGUGUCUUACUGUCAGUAUGUUCAAACACACUCACACAUCUCCCUGCACUUCCAGAGAUGCAGAUAUGUCUCACGAGCUGCAAUGUAUUGCACAUGUAGAAAAAUAAGCACUCUUUCCUUCAGAGACUUGUUGUAGACAAGCACCUAAUUCAGCAUAUUAUAUAAAGGGACACCACAACAGACUACAAACAUCCUUUCGAUUUCCAUCUGAACUGUUUCUAACACAGCACUUGUUUGCCUUCUAUUCCUUCCUAACAGACUCCAAUUGCAGAGCAGAUGGGAAUUGGAAGGUCUGUAACUUAAGUCCCAGUCACACCUUGCUCAGGAAAAGAAAUAAGUGUGCCACAGUUACUGAAUGACUUCUUAUUCCUGUAAUCCUUGAACUUUAAUGAACUAGAGAGAGGAGUGUGGAAAGAAAAGAGUCAGGAAAAUAAGGUCAUCUACCCAACUGAUCAUAUGCACUCUUUUGCUUUCUUCCAAUUUUUAUUUUGGUAUUUGAAGGAAAUGUUUCCAUCAGUACAAAAUGGGAAUAAGCUGUUUGAACAAUGACUAAUCAGAAAUGCAGUGUAAUGCAUCUGAAACACAAAUAAAGAAAUUUGAUUCUCCC